RNAcentral lists this long non-coding RNA (584 nucleotides) under Capra hircus (goat). RNAcentral's name for it is "lncRNA (ENSCHIG00000000647.1)". The record is from RNAcentral. Lineage: Eukaryota; Metazoa; Chordata; Mammalia; Artiodactyla; Bovidae.
CCAGCAUCCGCCUCAAAAGAGCUGUUUUAAGAAGAGAAUGCUCAUUUCUUGCAAAUGUGACCAAGAGCUCUGAAAUCCAGAUAUGUGCAUUGGAAAUGGAGGUUCCUCAGAUGACUGUGACAAUGUUAAGGAUCAAAGAAGCUUCUGGCACCACCCUUGGAGAGGCAUCUGUUACUGGUUGGGCUCCCAGGUGGCUCGUAUGGUAAAGAAUCUGCCUGCAAUGAAGGACCUGGGUUCGAUUCCUGGAUUGGGAAGAUCCCCUGAAGAAGGGCAUGGCAACCCACUCCAGUAUUCUUGCCUGGAGAAUUCCAUGGACAGAGGAGCAUGGUGGGCUACAGUCCAUGGGGUUACAAAGAGUCAGACAUGUCGGACCGACUAAUACUAGUGUUAUUGGUUGGAUGAAAGUUAUAUGGUAGAUGGUAAAAUUAAUCAAUAGGUACUCUUUAAAAUGUUACUCUCUUGGCACUGCAGCCCCAUGUGUCUUAAAAUUCUCAAGGGAUUCUAGCUGGGACCAUAGCUAUGACCUUACAAUCUUUUUCUUGAAACAAACUGAAUUUAAGCACUGAAUGGAAUUUAAAUGGAAA